This 164-nucleotide ribosomal RNA is filed under the name uncultured Thermus sp. RNAcentral describes it as "partial 16S ribosomal RNA". It matches the Rfam family "Bacterial small subunit ribosomal RNA", at positions 1222 to 1382 of the family's 1533-position model. The record is from RNAcentral. Lineage: Bacteria; Thermotogati; Deinococcota; Deinococci; Thermales; Thermaceae.
UGACUACAAUGCCCACUCAAAGCGAUGCCACCCGGCAACGGGGAGCUAAUCGCAAAAAGGUGGGCCCAGUUCGGAUUGGGGUCUGCAACCCGACCCCAUGAAGCCGGAAUCGCUAGUAAUCGCGGAUCAGCCAUGCCGCGGUGAAUUACCGGUUCCCGGGCCUU